Molecule: ribosomal RNA, 403 nt
Filed under: uncultured bacterium
Lineage: Bacteria
Description: partial 16S ribosomal RNA
Rfam family: Bacterial small subunit ribosomal RNA
Source: RNAcentral
GACGAACGCUGGCGGCGUGCCUAAUACAUGCAAGUCGAACGCAGUGGGGACGGGAGAGUAACACGUGGGUAACCUCCCAUCAGAGGGGAUAACACUUGGAAACAGGUGCUAAACCGAUCCUGAUGGAUGGACCCGCGGUGCAUUAGCUAGUUGGUGAGGUAACGGCUCACCAAGGCCACGAUGCAUAGCCGACCUGAGAGGGUGAUCGGCCCAACUGGGACUGAGUCAAGGGCCAGACUCCGAAGGGAGGCAGCAGUAGGGAAGCUUCGGCAAUGGGGGGAAACCUGACCGAGCAACGCCGCGUGAGUGAAGAAGGUUUUCGGAUCGUAAAGCUCUGUUGUUAAGGAAGCGGUACUUAACCAGAAAGGGACGGCUAACUACGUGCCAGCAGCCGCGGUAAUAC